GAGGUUAUAAGGAGUCUUUUCAUUGAAGUUUGCUUUCAGUUGUUUAUUUGGUUGCUGAGAUAACUUAGAGAAGGGAGAAAAAGAAAAGGGCAAGGUGUUGGUUCUAAUUUUAGGCUCAGUUAAAAACCAUAAACAAAAGAAAUAGAAGGGGAAAAAAAAGAAGAAGAAAAACAAUUGAGAAGGCAUUCGCCUGUAGAUUUGUCAUUCAAGGGAGAUGUUUUGGAGUCCUUGAUUAUGGAAAUUUCGAAGUAGUAACAUGU
RNAcentral lists this unclassified non-coding RNA (260 nucleotides) under Hevea brasiliensis (rubber tree). Lineage: Eukaryota; Viridiplantae; Streptophyta; Magnoliopsida; Malpighiales; Euphorbiaceae. The record is from RNAcentral.